UACAUGGGGUGCAAACGUUGCUCGGAAUUAUUGGGCGUAAAGCGUGCGCAGGCGGUUUUGUAAGUCUGUCGUGAAAGCCCCGGGCUCAACCUGGGAAUUGCGAUGGAGACUGCAAGGCUUGAAUCUGGCAGAGGGGGGUAGAAUUCCACGUGUAGCAGUGAAAUGCGUAGAGAUGUGGAGGAACACCGAUGGCGAAGGCAGCCCCCUGGGUCAAGAUUGACGCUCAUGCACGAAAGCGUGGGGAGCAAACAGG
RNAcentral lists this ribosomal RNA (253 nucleotides) under uncultured bacterium. RNAcentral's name for it is "partial 16S ribosomal RNA". It matches the Rfam family "Bacterial small subunit ribosomal RNA", at positions 524 to 776 of the family's 1533-position model. The record is from RNAcentral.